AAGAGACGUUGCCCUUCGGGGUAUACCUCCCACCCUUUGUUUAUUAUACCUUUGUUGCUUUGGCGGGCCCGUCCUCGGACCACCGGCUUCUGCUGGUCAGUGCCCGCCAGAGGACCUAAAACUCUAUUUGUUAAUAUUGUCUGAGUACUAUAUAAUAGUUA
RNAcentral lists this unclassified non-coding RNA (161 nucleotides) under soil metagenome. RNAcentral's name for it is "partial internal transcribed spacer 1". The record is from RNAcentral.